GGCUGAUAACAUUUCCGAGUAGUUCUGAGAACUGUCUCAUUGACACUUUAUGGAUAUCUAAAGUGUUUUUUUUUUUUUAAUUAAAAUGGGAAACAUAUCUAAUUAUCGUUGUGUUUCGAACAGUUCCACUAACAUUUAGAGGUCCUAAACCAUCAAACUCCAAUAAUUUCUAAACGGUUGAAGUUUGAAAGCAAAAAAUACAAGUGUUGAAAGAUACCAGAAAAGUGAGUGCCGCACAUCAGUGUGCAAACCUCCAGUAUAUGGGGGCUAUUCCAAUUAAGUGUUGAGAAUAACGCCCGUACAGAUUUAACACUCUGAGCGCUGUGUGUGUUGUGGGCAGCCGUGCCGACCCCUGGACUUGCCGUGGUAGUUGUGCUACCACUGGUCAAUGUCCAGGGGACGACAGUGUGUCACGCACACUGUCGUACGCACACUAAGCGCGGGCCGCUUAGUGUGUGUUGUGCGCUCGGACAAGCAAGUGUUGCGAGCAGCCGGUCGAGCAGGGCUCCCGGCAGGGCACGGUACGGCUGGCGCGCGGCCGAGUAUUUUAUUGUGUAUUGUGCUUGUCAGUGUUAUUUAUUAUGUGUACUGUAAUAUUAGUGUUUUAAUAAAGUACCUGAGAGCAAGCCAAAGACACAACAGUGGCGACGAGGAUGGGAUCCUCUUGCGUAAGGAGGAUCCCUAGAAGAACCCGCGGUCACCAUCGCGAUCGAGCGCGUCGGUUGGAGCCGGCGCCAUCGCGAUGGCACGGGUCCCCGCGACAGUGGGACGCCGUUCGACAAGGACCGCUGCCGCCGCCGCCGUUAAGACCGUGGCCCCGGCUGUCGUCCCGCGAUGGGGACAGAAGGGACAGCCGCACACACACACACUCGGCGAUGUUUGAUUCGCCGGGCUGCAGGCCCAGGGAGCGCCGGCAAUGGAAAGGUCGAAGCCUGAUUGCCGGGCCAUCUGCGGCGACGCUAGGUGUCGUCGGGCUGCAGCCCAAGGAGCGCCGGCAGUGUAAGAGGCGAAUUGUCUUUCUGCCUAGCUGCCGGGCCAUCAUUGGUGACGCGAGAGGUCACUGAGUUGCUGCCGCUGUGUUCGACGGAGAGGGGGCGAGAUGCCAUGCCCCGCUGCAGCCGUCGUGUUGGACGGAGAGGAGGGCGAGGUUCCAUGCCGCCCCGCUGCAGCCGUCGUAGACCAGUGAGAGGGGGCGAGGUUCCAUGCCGCCCCGCUGCAGCCGUCGUAGAACAGUGAGAGGGGGCGAUGUCGCAUGCCGCCCCGCUACUGCUGUUGCGUUCAACGGAGAGGGGGCGAGGUCCCAUGCCGCCCCGCUGCUGCCGUUGUGUCGACGGAGAGGGGGCGAGGUUCCAUGCCGCCCCGCUGCUGCCGUUAUGUUCGACGGAGAGGGGGCGAGGUCCAAUGCCGCCCCGCUGCAGCCGUUGUGUAAACGGAGAGGGGCGAGGUUUCAUGUCGCCCCGCUGCAGCCGUCGUGUUUGACGGAGAGGAGGGCGAGGUCCAAUGCCGCCCCGAUGCAGCAAUAGUGUCAACGGAGAGGGGGCGAGGUCCCAUGCCGCCCCGCUGCUGCCGUUUUUAUUCGUCAGAGAGAGGGGGUGGUCGCAUUCC
This is a long non-coding RNA of Anopheles gambiae (African malaria mosquito), 1605 nucleotides long. RefSeq lists it as uncharacterized. Lineage: Eukaryota; Metazoa; Arthropoda; Insecta; Diptera; Culicidae. The transcript is spliced from 2 exons. The record is from RefSeq and is a predicted model, not a curated record.